This 3344-nucleotide long non-coding RNA is filed under the name Salmo salar (Atlantic salmon). RNAcentral's name for it is "lncRNA (ENSSSAG00000119248.1)". The record is from RNAcentral. Lineage: Eukaryota; Metazoa; Chordata; Actinopteri; Salmoniformes; Salmonidae.
UGUGAUAAAAUAAUAAUCUUUAUUUCACAGAAGUACAAACGUAUAAAGUAAGAAAAACAGCUUAUAUUGUCGUAAACCAAAGCAGAGAAAUACACUAUGUACAUCUAUAAUGGACGUGCUGACGUUCAUAUCUUUAACUCUGGUCCAGGGCGACGCUGAGAACAUUACCAAACCACACCCUGGACCAGAGCUAUUUUUCUCUAUAUAAAACCACCAGCGUUAGCCCCUCCCUUCCACACUGCUCAGCAGUACUCGACAUGGACUGAAAUAGGUGUCGUUACUGUUUAUAUUCAGGUGCAGGAGCUCCACAAUACAUUUGAGUUGAUAUUCUAUAAGAGGAACGGGAGCUGAAGCCGUAGAACAUUUGAGGUGCUGGUACUCAGCUCCAGCCCAAGUCGAGGACUGCUGCUCAGCCAACAGUUAUGCGCAUCAAGAAAUAAAGAAAAUACGAUACACUAAUACAUUGUUAACAGAAAAGAUACAGACAAACAUAUAUAGCCUGGUCCAAGACAUAUACAGUACCGGUCAAAAGUUUUAGAAAACCUACUCAUUCAAGGGUUUUUCUUUUCAUUUGACUAUUUUCUACAUUGUAGAAUAAUAGUGAAGAGACAUCAAAACUGAAAUAGUGAAGACAUCAACACUGAAAUAACACUCCAAUGAAUUUAUCCUUUGCUGCAGAGGUAACUCUGGGUCUUCCUUUCCUGUGGCGGUCCUCAUGAGAGUCAGUUUCAUCAUAGAGCUUGAUGUUUUUUUGCGACUGCACUUGAAGAAACUUUCAAAGUUCUUGACAUUUUUCGUAUUGACUGACCUUUAUGUCUUAAAGUAAUGAUGGACUGUCACUUCUCUUAUUUGAGCUGUUCUUGCCAUAAUAUGGACUUGGUCUUUUACCAAACAGGCUUCUUCUGUACACCACCCCUACCUUGUCACGACACAACUGAUUGGCUCAAACGCAUUAAGGAAAAAAAUUCCACAAAUUAACUUUCAACAAGGCACACCUGUUAAUUGAAAUGCAUUCCAGGUGACUACCUCAUGAAGCUGGUUGAGAGAAUGACAAGAGUGUGCAAAACUGUCAUCAAGGCAAAGGAUGGCUACUUUGAAGAAUCUGAAAUAUAAAAUAUAUUUUCAUUUGUUUAAACACUUUUUUAGUUACUACGUGAUUCCAUAUGUGUUAUUUCAUAGUGUUGAUGUCUUCACUAUUAUUCUACAAUGUAGAAAAUAGUCAAAAUAAAGAAAAACCCUUGAAUGAGUCCAAACUUUUGACUGGUACUGUAUGUACAUUUUCAUUUGAUACAUUUUAGAAUAAGGUUGUAACGUAACAAAAUGUUGAAAAAGUCGAGGGGUCUGAAGAUUUUCCGAAGGCACUGUAUAUAGCCUGGGUGCCAACUCCAAUGUUAUUUUCAAGCCAAAAGGCAAUUCCAUAAGAAGUUGUCAAGAGCCUGGCACACAGGCCAGGGUAUAUCAAGAGCCAGGCCAGGGUAUAUCAAGAGCCAGGCCAGGGUAUAUCAAGAGCCAGGCCAGGGUAUAUCAAGAGCCAGGCCAGGGUAUAUCAAGAGCCAGGCCAGGGUAUGUGUAUUAUUAUAUUGCCCUGACAUGGACUUUGUUGGAACGUUGAUACUAGAAACAGACAAUAGAACGAUGCAGAAUUCGAUUGCAUUUUCUUUACCAUUCAAUUAUUACAUUGUAAUUCUGCGUUGUUUUGGAAAAGGGCUCGUCAGUAAGCAUUUCACAGUAACGUCUACAUCUGUUGUACAUGGCACGUGACAAAUACACUUUGAUUUGAUACCAUUUUUUUCCCAAUAAAUGGUUUGUCUUUACCAAUACUAGAAGGGCUUCAAACAAACAAGCAUGUUGUGUUGAGACAGUGUCCCGUGAUAAGUUGUCCUGUUCUCACGACUAAGACGAUUGCUUUAACAUAUACCCAGUGCUUGAGAUGGAUUGAAAUAGGUGUCGGUACUCAUUUUGGUUGCCAGUACUGCUUAUAUUUAGGUGCAGGAGUUCCACAAUACUUUUGAGAUAAUAUUCAAUAACAGGAACAGGAGUUCAAGCAGUUGAACAUUUCAGGUGCCUGUACUCGGCUCCUGUGAGCUCCUGCCCAAGUCCUGCAUAUACCUUAGAGCAAGGGGGGAGGGGGGCAAAGUACGGCCCGCGGGGCAGUUCAAUCUGGCCCACGAGACAAAAAGAAAAAUAAUUUAGCCCUUUCUUGUCCCAUCGCUGCAACUCCCUUAAGGACUCGGGAGAGGCGAAGGUCGAAACACGACCCAGCAUCCUCCGAAACACAACCCAGCCAAGCCGCACUGCUUCUUGACACAAUGCCCGCUUAACCCGGAAACCAGCUGCACCAAUGUGUCGGAGGAAACACCGUACACCUGGCGACCGUGUCAGCGUGCAUGCGCCCGGCCUGCCACAGGAGUCACUAGAGCGCGAUGGGACAAGGAAAUCUUGGCCUGCCAAACCCUCUCCUAACCCGGACGACAAUGGGCCAAUUAUGCGCCGCCUCAUGGGUGUUUUAGUCACGGCCAACUAUGACACGGCCCGGGAUCGAACCCGGGUCUGUAAUGACGCUUCUAGCACUGCGAUGCAGUACCUUAGACCGCUGCGCCACUCGGGAGGCCCCCGCAAAUUGAUUAUAACAAACAAUUGGUCCCCCAAAAAAUGCAUCCCUCCGUUGAAUUUCAAAAUCCCGAUGUGGCCCUCGAGCCAAAACUGAAAAUCAUGUCUAAAGUCUCCCUCCUUUUGAAGAUGAGGCAGUGAUGAUACCACAGCUACAGAAGAAUCUGUCAGCCUAUUUCUGGUAAGAUGUUAAGAGCAUUGUGUUGAAACAGACUUGAAGCUUCUCUUCAAACAAACGAUCGACUUCUUUUACCUUUUAUAGAUAAUGACAUUAUCCAACCAGACUGUACACCACCCCACCCACAGGACCAUGUGGACAACACCAGUAGACUACCCCACAUCACAACAACCUUAACCCUAUCUCUAACCAUCACAACAACCUUAACCCUAUCUCUAACCAUCACAACAACCCUAACCCUAUCUCUAACCAUCACAACAACCCUAACCCUAUCUCUAACCAUCACAACAACCCUAACCCUAUCUCUAACCAUCACAACAACCCUAACCCUAUCUCUAACCAUCACAACAACCUUAACCCUAUCUCUAACCAUCACAACAACCCUAACCCUAUCUCUAACCAUCACAACAACCCUAACCCUAUCUCUAACCAUCACAACAACCCUAACCCUAUCUCUAACCAUCACAACAAGCCUAACCCUAUCUCUAACCAUCACAACAACCCUAACCCUAUCUCUAACCAUCACAACAACCCUAACCCUAUCUCUAACCAUCAC